This 318-nucleotide ribosomal RNA is filed under the name uncultured bacterium. RNAcentral describes it as "bacterial SSU rRNA". It matches the Rfam family "Bacterial small subunit ribosomal RNA", at positions 27 to 334 of the family's 1533-position model. The record is from RNAcentral.
GAUGAGGCGCUAGCGACAGGCUUAACACAUGCAAGUCGGAGGGGCAGCAUCUCAGUUUGCUUGCAAACUGGAGAUGGCGACCGGCGCACGGGUGAGUAACACGUAUCCAACCUGCCGAUAACUCGGGGAUAGCCUUUCGAAAGAAAGAUUAAUACCCGAUGGUAUAAUUAGACCGCAUGGUCUUGUUAUUAAAGAAUUUCGGUUAUCGAUGGGGAUGCGUUCCAUUAGAUAGUUGGCGGGGUAACGGCCCACCAAGUCAACGAUGGAUAGGGGUUCUGAGAGGAAGGUCCCCCACAUUGGAACUGAGACACGGUCCAA